GUAACAAGGUUUCCGUAGGUGAACCUGCGGAAGGAUCAUUACCGAGUGAGGGCCCUCUGGGUCCAACCUCCCACCCGUGUCUAUCGUACCUUGUUGCUUCGGCGGGCCCGCCGUUUCGACGGCCGCCGGGGAGGCCUUGCGCCCCCGGGCCCGCGCCCGCCGAAGACCCCAACAUGAACGCUGUUCUGAAAGUAUGCAGUCUGAGUUGAUUAUCGUAAUCAGUUAAAACUUUCAACAACGGAUCUCUUGGUUCCGGCAUCGAUGAAGAACGCAGCGAAAUGCGAUAAGUAAUGUGAAUUGCAGAAUUCAGUGAAUCAUCGAGUCUUUGAACGCACAUUGCGCCCCCUGGUAUUCCGGGGGGCAUGCCUGUCCGAGCGUCAUUGCUGCCCUCAAGCACGGCUUGUGUGUUGGGCCCCCGUCCCCCUCUCCCGGGGGACGGGCCCGAAAGGCAGCGGCGGCACCGCGUCCGGUCCUCGAGCGUAUGGGGCUUUGUCACCUGCUCUGUAGGCCCGGCCGGCGCCAGCCGACACCCAACUUUAUUUUUCUAAGGUUGACCUCGGAUCAGGUAGGGAUACCCGCUGAACUUAAGCAUAUCA
Molecule: unclassified non-coding RNA, 596 nt
Filed under: Aspergillus fumigatus
Lineage: Eukaryota; Fungi; Ascomycota; Eurotiomycetes; Eurotiales; Aspergillaceae
Description: sequence contains 18S rRNA gene, ITS1, 5.8S rRNA gene, ITS2, 28S rRNA gene
Rfam family: 5.8S ribosomal RNA (bases 227-380)
Source: RNAcentral